CCUUCUUGUUUUUUAUUUAUGAGGUCACUCCCCUAGUGCCGUCCCACUGAGAAGACCUGCGUGUACAAGAUCAAACACGACUCCGUGAGACAGAGUUCAUGUGUUGAGGUAGGUGAAGAGGGGACGAGAGAGGGAGGCCACCUAGAGGUCGGUGGGUUCCGGGCCCGGUACCUACCUCUACCGCUGCAGUUGCGGCGUCCGCCGCCUUCCCCAUCGCGCCCAGCCUCCGCACCCCGGCGCCCCGCGCCCGCCCUCUGCGUCUCGCCGCGGGGCCGGGCUUCCAGCGCCGUCCUCAACCAGCGGCUCCCAGACUCCGCCUCGCGUGCCCCAGCCGUCCGCGUCGCGGCCGCUCAACCACCUCAUUCCUAACACGUCGCCGCUCCUCCGCGGCCGACGAAGGCGAAGGCGCGGUGCUUCCGCUGCUACGCGCUCAGGGCCGGAGCAGGUCUGGUAGGUAGCGGUUAAGCGGUCCGCCUGUGUAAGUCUAAAAUCUUUAUAAUAAGUUCACGAACAAGAACGAUCACUGGCUCCUUAUACCUCACCGUACGUGCUGGUGUUUACCACAAAGUUCGUCAAAAAAGUACAAUACGAGAGGUGGGCUCAUUGUUUUAACCCUUUUGGGAUCAGCAUUAGGGUUUAUCUAUAACGUAAGAACUAACCGUUGUCUUGUCGUAGGGGUUUGGUAAGACUUUAAGAACAGAAAAAAGUGGAAAAAGGAAAUCAAAUAAACCACACUACGACGAUUCCACAAGGCGUUGAUUGACAUUAAUAAUUUCUGUGUCAAGAUAAGAAGGAACUCAAUAAGGUAUGGAAUUAUUAGAGUCCAAACGGUAAACCUGGAAAGAUACUUUGGGGAAGAGAUUGUCCACGUACGUGGUAAUAAAGUAGCUAUUAGUAAAAGUAAAACGUUGUUACAAAUGUGGUUUACCACGACGUCUACCUAUUUCACUAUAGUUUACGAGUUCGAUGGGAUCCUUGUGAAUACAGUGUUGUUAGUUAUUAACCACCGUAAUGAUACUUCUAUUCGUUGUAACCGUCUAAUUAGUAUACUGACACUGUAACUGUUUUGUUUUUACGGUUGUGCUACUAGUAACCAGUCAUUAACAACUAUGGUUAACUAGGGUAGAGUUUCACGGAUAGUCUACUGGUAAGGAACUCUAUUACGGUGUAAGGAGUCGGUGGUCUGUUCAAGACAAACGAGGACCAAAAUGUACAUUCUCAAGUUCUUAAAACGUAGAGGAGUAGGUUAAGGGACGAGUAGCGAUUUUGAUACAAUCAAUAGGGUCUGUUCAAGACAAACGAGGACCAAAAUGUACAUUCUCAAGUUCUUAAAACGUAGAGG
RNAcentral lists this ribosomal RNA (1342 nucleotides) under Triticum aestivum (bread wheat). RNAcentral describes it as "partial small subunit ribosomal RNA". The record is from RNAcentral. Lineage: Eukaryota; Viridiplantae; Streptophyta; Magnoliopsida; Poales; Poaceae.